ACCUAAAUAGCUUAUGUAGAGUAUAACAUUGAAGAUGUUAGGGAAAUAUUUUUAUUUUUAGGUA
RNAcentral lists this transfer RNA (64 nucleotides) under Hilethera xinjiangensis. RNAcentral's name for it is "tRNA-Phe". The record is from RNAcentral. Lineage: Eukaryota; Metazoa; Arthropoda; Insecta; Orthoptera; Acrididae.